CGUGGGGGAGGAGGUUUGUGGAUUGUAAACCCCUUUUGAUUGGGAAGAAAUACUGACGGUACCAAUCGAAUAAGCAUCGGCUAACUCCGUGCCAGCAGCCGCGGUAAUACGGAGGAUGCAAGCGUUAUCCGGAAUUAUUGGGCGUAAAGCGUCCGUAGGUGGUUUAGUAAGUCUGCUGUUAAAGCGCGGGGCUUAACUCCGUAUCGGCAGUGGAAACUACUAGACUUGAGUGUGGUAGGGGUAGAGGGAAUUCCCAGUGUAGCGGUGAAAUGCGUAGAUAUUGGGAAGAACACCGGUGGCGAAAGCGCUCUACUGGGCCAUAACUGACACUGAUGGACGAAAGCUAGGGGAGCGAAAGGGAUUAGAUACCCACCGUAAAGGAUGGAAACUAGGUGUU
RNAcentral lists this ribosomal RNA (397 nucleotides) under Jaaginema geminatum. RNAcentral describes it as "bacterial SSU rRNA". It matches the Rfam family "Bacterial small subunit ribosomal RNA", at positions 400 to 824 of the family's 1533-position model. Lineage: Bacteria; Bacillati; Cyanobacteriota; Cyanophyceae; Leptolyngbyales; Leptolyngbyaceae. The record is from RNAcentral.